GGGAGCAGAUGGGCGCUGGUGUGUCUCCUGGUCUUCAAAACCUGUGUGGGGCGUAGGGUACGUCCCGGGUGGGUUCGAUUCCCACAUGCUCCCGCCA
Molecule: transfer RNA, 97 nt
Filed under: Eubacteriales bacterium
Lineage: Bacteria; Bacillati; Bacillota; Clostridia; Eubacteriales
Description: tRNA-Sec
Rfam family: Selenocysteine transfer RNA
Source: RNAcentral